RNAcentral lists this non-coding RNA (169 nucleotides) under Acetonema longum. RNAcentral describes it as "Lysine sequence". It matches the Rfam family "Lysine riboswitch aptamer". From Rfam's summary of the family: Riboswitches are metabolite binding domains within certain messenger RNAs that serve as precision sensors for their corresponding targets. Allosteric rearrangement of mRNA structure is mediated by ligand binding, and this results in modulation of gene expression. The record is from RNAcentral. RNAcentral also lists the same sequence under 1 other name. Lineage: Bacteria; Bacillati; Bacillota; Negativicutes; Acetonemataceae.
AUCCGUGAUAGAGGUGCGGGCAUGAUCAGUACCUUCCGGGAGCUGUCGGCAAAGAACGGAAGGAAAAGGCAGGCUUGCCGAAGCUGCGGGAUAUUGACACUAUGCUGCUGCUGGGGUUGCGUCGAACAGGCGCAGAACUGUCACCUUCGGGUGGAGCGCUAUCUUGCCG